Molecule: RNA transcript, 2989 nt
Organism: Gambusia affinis (western mosquitofish)
Lineage: Eukaryota; Metazoa; Chordata; Actinopteri; Cyprinodontiformes; Poeciliidae
Gene: tmod1
Gene name: tropomodulin 1
Exons: 13
Source: RefSeq, a predicted model, not a curated record
UCACCUCUCCCUAAGUUGACUUUGCCGUUUUUGGGAGAUCAGAUUCAGCUUUCCGCAAACCCACCAAGAGCUGAGCAAAGACGGGAGAGGAGAGGGGACGCCUUGACUUCUGCUGAAUUCAGUAACCAGUCUGUCCACGGGUCAUGGCCGGUUCCGUGUAGCGGAGCGGGUUUUUAUUUCGGGCGGAUUCCCCCCGGUUUGUGCGCCUGCAGCCGAGCGCAGCUCUCACUGCGGCUCCAAAGGGAAACCAUAUCUGGUCAAAGUAUUCGUUGCUGUCACCCAGUAGAGCCGGACCUGCUAUUAAUAGCGCCGGAGGAGCUGCUGCUGCGCCAACAGUCUGGACACCUGGCCGCCUUUUGGUCUCAGCCUACCGUUGACGUGAGUGAGCAUCACUGAGUCCACUGCCUCCAUCAUUCCAGAUAUUUUCAAAUUAAGUCCACGUUCUCCUGCUCGAUUGUCUUUUUCGUCUCGUCUUUCCGGUUCGGGGAGGUCGUGGAGGUGUGCGGCUCAUCAUGUCGCUGUUGAAGAAGGAGAUGGACAAGUACAGGGACAUAGACGAGGACGAGCUGCUGAAGAAGCUGUCAGAGGAGGAGCUGCAGCGGUUAGAGGACGAGCUGGAGGAGCUGGAUCCUGACAAUGCGUUGCUGCCUGCCGGCCUUCGACAGAAGGACCAGACCAAGAAAGCACCAACAGGAACGUUUCAGAGAGACAACCUGCUGGCCCACCUGGAGAAGCAGGCCAAGGAGCAUCCUGACAGAGAAGACCUGGUGCCGUUUACCGGCGAGAAGAGAGGAAAGGCGUGGGUGCCAAAACAGAGGGUGGACCCCAUCAUAGAGAACGUGACCCUGGAGCCGGAGCUGGAGGAAGCCCUGGCCAGUGCCUCUGAUGCAGAACUCUGCGACAUUGCAGCUAUCCUGGGCAUGCACACCCUGAUGAGCAACCAGCAGUACUACGAAGCGCUGGCCAGCAGCACCAUAGUCAACAAGCAGGGCCUCAACAGUGUGAUCCAGUGUACCCAGUACAAACCAGUCCCAGACGAGGAGCCCAACUCCACUGACGUCGAGGAAACGUUGAUGAGGAUAAAGAGGAACGAUCCUGACCUGGUGGAGGUCAACCUCAACAACAUAAAGAAUAUCCCCGUCCCAACACUGAAGGCUUACGCCGAAGCACUGAUGAAGAACACCGUGGUGGAAAGGUUCAGCAUUGUUGGAACAAGGAGCAACGACCCUGUAGCAUUUGCACUGGCAGAGAUGCUGAAGGCGAACUCAACUCUGAAGAGUCUGAAUGUCGAGUCAAACUUCAUCACCGGGGCUGGAAUCCUGUCCCUGAUUGAAUCACUGCAGCAUAACACCACACUACUGGAGAUUAAAAUCGACAAUCAGAGCCAGCCGCUGGGAAACAAAGUGGAGAUGGAGAUAGCCAGCAUUCUGGAGAAAAACACCACCUUGUUAAAGUUCGGCUACCAUUUCACUCAACAGGGCCCGCGCCUGCGAGGCUCCAAUGCCAUGAUGAACAACAACGACUUGGCCCGGGUCGUCAGGUCAGAAUCGGACGGCUCCUUCACCUUCACUCUGUCCGUUCCUGAGCUGGAGAGAGCCUUUGGAAAAAAGUUCAAGUGCAAGACUAAGUGAAACCAGAAAAACGCAUAUGAGACGCAGUCGCCACGGUGUGCAGUCACUCAGUAAGAAAGAGAAGGCUUGAGGGAGGACCCAUCUUCCCAAAGUGUCGGACAAAUGUGUAAAAAAAAAAACAACCAAAUGGCUGCAUUCAUCCUCCUCCAAUCAUCCAUGACCUCCAUCAUCAACCUCUUUAUCGUUUGGUAAAUCUUGUGAAAAUAAUUAUUUUGUGCAUCUGGAUUGGCUAAGACCUUAAAAGCCGCAGCUCUUUGUGCUCACCAACCAGGAGAUGCACACUUUGUGUCAGUAGUAAAAGUCUAGUUUUGAAAACAAAUGGUCAUUUUUUUCCUGUUCGUGACAUCAAUUCAGUGUUAUGAGUACUGUUUUGUAAAGGGGAUGUGUUGCCAUUACUAUCACUUCCCUUCAGUUUUCUUGUCAACUUAAUAGUAUAUUCUAUGAAGACAACGAUGAAGCUCAGACUCAGAAGAUAAUAGAUAUGCAGAAGAAUUGUUCUAAAAAUCUGAGGUGACGCGUCGUUUUUGUGUCAGAUGCUCCGUUAUGCACAUAUUUCUGCGGUUUUAAAGCUUUCUAUUGUGAGACGUGUCACUUUAUAUGUACCAUAUUUAUUUGAGAAAAACCUUUUAAAAGAUUUAAAGCUUUAAAAACAACCUGUUGUUUUUUAACAAAAAGAAUCGCUUUCUUAAAUUUGUCUGUAAGGAGAUGCAACUUUCUGACCUUAAUGAUAAAAAGAAAUGUUUCAGGAGAAAAAAAAAUAUUCAGGUUACUCUUUUGGUGUGGUGAAUAACUUUUUUUUUAGUACUUCUUGUUGCAAAAGAUAUUUACUGUAUUUAUAUGCAUCUAUGCCUGAUUAGUUAUCAUUUUCAGGAUGCCCCAAAGAAAAUACAAUAUUUUUAACCAUCAAAAACUACAGUUCCCUCUGUUUCAAUUUUAAAAAGUACAGAGCAACUCUAAAUCAGUGGGAAUGUCUCGUUGUGACACAAAUUGAAAAUUGGGGGGUUAUCGACCCAACUGAUAAUUUGUAAAGCUCUAGUAAAACCCACAGAUGUAUGUAAUCAUAAAUGACAAGUUGUGUCCACAAGGCAUGUUUUAUAUUCAAACAGUUUUACCCAACACAGAUCCUAAGGACUGAUAAUCCUUGUAUUCUCAAAGUCACAUUAGUGCUGGAUGUAAACAUUUGUAACCGAGUGUCAAACGUCAAAAAGCACUCGACUUUGAACACUUUACUACUCUGUUCCUCUGUUUUUUUUUUUCUUUUCUGGUUUAGUGCUUGACUGUUUGUUUGUUUUUUAUGUAGAACGCACAGUUGUUAGUUGAAAGUGUUUGUUUAUGAGUUUAAUAAAGUUUGAGAUUUA